This 32-nucleotide non-coding RNA is filed under the name Mus musculus (house mouse). Lineage: Eukaryota; Metazoa; Chordata; Mammalia; Rodentia; Muridae. The record is from RNAcentral.
UAUUACAUGGAAGUCAAACAGAAACUUGAAGC